Molecule: ribosomal RNA, 293 nt
Filed under: uncultured prokaryote
Description: partial 16S ribosomal RNA
Rfam family: Archaeal small subunit ribosomal RNA
Source: RNAcentral
GUGCCAGCCGCCGCGGUAAUACCGGCAGCCCGAGUGAUGGCCGAUAUUAUUGGGCCUAAAGCGUCCGUAGCCGGCCGGGCAAGUCCGUUGGGAAAUCCACGCGCUCAACGCGUGGGCGUCCAGCGGAAACUGUUCGGCUUGGGGCCGGAGGACUCGAGGGGUACGUCCGGGGUAGGAGUGAAAUCCCGUAAUCCUGGACGGACCACCGGUGGCGAAAGCGCCUCGAGAGGACGGACCCGACGGUGAGGGACGAAAGCCAGGGUCUCGAACCGGAUUAGAUACCCCUGUAGUCC